GUGUCUCUCCAUAUCACCGUAUGCUGCGUAUGCUCUUCUGUGUCAUCCGCGCCACAAGGAUGUGCUGUUUUCUUUCAAAUCAAAGCUAAAUACACGUAGAAACAGCACAUCCUUGUGGUGCGGAUGACACAGAAGAGCAUACGCAGCAUACGGUGAUAUGGAGAGACACUGAGGAGACUGUUGACAAAGGAAUCGUUGAGUAAAGUCAUUAUUUUUGUUAUCUUCGCUUACAAAAAGUGUUCCUGUCGCUUCAUAUAACACAGAUUGCACGUCUGAUGGCAGAUGGAGUAUUCUGACGACGACUUUCAUACCUUUUAUGGACCUUGACACUGUUAUUUACUUGGCAGUCUAUGGGACAGUCACAAGACUCCCGGAUUUCAUCCAAAAUAUCUUAAAUUGUUUUCUGAAGACAAUUUUACGGGUUUGGAACAACAUGGGGAUAAGUGAUUAAUGACAAAAUUUUCAUUUUGGGGUGGAGUAUCCCUUUAAAGCCUGUUUUUUUUUUUUUAAAUCCAUUGUAAAAAUAGAAGUAUUUUCAGAAAAUAACCUGCUCAUUAUUUCCAGAGUUAUUUUCUAAGCAAAUCUGAAGGUAAAGUGUUUAAAGGUAAUAUUUAAUAUUCCCUGGAAGCUUCAUGUGUGAGUUUCACGAUAGACUGAGACUUGUUUAUAAAGUUUGUAGGCUUUAUUCUACUAACAUAACAUCCUGAGGAUUACAGUUCGGAUCUUCAAGAAACUAGUUUAGCCAAGCUUUAGUCAUUCCAUAAGUCAAAUUCGACUUUUGUCUUGUUGCCUGCCAUUGCUGUGUGCUUAGAUAUACUAUGCACUUGGCAUAUCUUCUGUGCACAAUUAAUAAUACAUUCUUCCUUUUCAAUAUAACCAAUUCUAUUCUCUGAUGGUACAGUGUCAUUUGAUGCAAGAAAAGAUGGCACAUUGCAUGGUUUUCAGUCAUCUUAUUAUGGUGCACCUUACAUAAUGGAUCUUAGAGAUAUAAUAGUAACGUGGUAUCAGUCUGACACCUUGUUGCUAAGUCAGCAAUAACAAUAUAUUCAAUAACAAGACAAUAUUUAAUGUUAAUUGUGACAUUAAGUGUUUUUUUUUUCUUCAGAACAACAAUUCAUCCUUCAUUAGGAUGUUGACAACAUUAAGUGCAUUUAAUUAGCAGCAUAAUCAAAUAUGAAAAUGUGUAUUUUUUGGUCUGAAUUGACUGUCAACUCAUAAAUAAGCUAAUUUGUAGUCAGUAAGCUGAUUAAGACAUGAGUGCAUUUUUUUUCUGCACAGAUAAUAGAUACCUCAGGGGUUAUAGAAGACAGUGUGCCACACAUUUCAUUGAUGGGUUUGCAUGUUGAAAGCAGGGUCCUCAGGUUUGAGAUGGAUGAACUUGGCUUUUCUGAAGUCGUGUAAAAUGCUGUACCAUUAAAUGUGACUGCCAACAACAAUAAAACAAACAAAAAACUCUUCAUAAAGUCCAUGCUCAUUGACUUGACUUGAAUUAAAUGGGUUCUAGACCCUAAUGCACCAAGGUGAACUGAAUUCACAAAGACUUUAAGAGGAGUAUUGCCUCUCUUAUUAAAGCAAUUGUUAAGUUUUAUAGUCUGCAAGCUAAUGUUCCUAGUUUUGCAUUGUACUGAGAAACAGGGUCAAUAAACAGCACAGCAUUUGUAUUUUCAAACAUGUAA
Cyprinus carpio carpio is the source of this 1676-nucleotide long non-coding RNA. The record is from Ensembl. NCBI's taxonomy places the organism in Eukaryota, Metazoa, Chordata, Actinopteri, Cypriniformes, Cyprinidae.